GUUGAUUCUAAUUUUGUUUCAUUCUGUGAGCAGUGAAACCAGUCUGACCAGUUCUACCAGCCCCUGGGCUGAGCAGGUGUCUCUGCGACUAUCACACUCUCACAAUUGAUCCCUUCUCUCUAUCUGUCCCAGCCAUCAGGACCUCCAUCUGUGUCCUGGGACCCCCUUUCUGGAUACCAUCUGCUCUGAACUCAGUGUGUCACACUGUUUGUCUUCUGCCACUGUCUAGAUACUUUCCACCAGUACUCUCCGUUUGCCUUAUAAGUCCCUCUGCCUGUCCCCUGGAAGCCUCUGUCCGGACACUGACUGGGGAAGCCUCUGCCUUUCUCCUGGAGACUCUGUCUGGACACUGUCUGUGGAAACCUGUGCCUGUCCCCUGGAAGCCUCUGUCCGGACACUGACUUCUGGGAAUCCACACGUUGAAAAUAGUGCAAAUUUAUUGGCCAGGUUGCUGACGAGGAAGACCGAGAGAGAGUGGGUGUGGAGGGUAUAAUUCCUCUCCUAGGGGAGUCUUGGACCAGAGGGCACAGCCACAGGAUAGAGGCUUUAGAAUACAGGAAUUCUACAGAUGCUGGAAAUUCAAGCAACACACAUCCAAGUUGCUGGUGAACGCAGCAGGCCAGGCGGCAUCUCUAGGAAGAGGCGCAGUUGACGUUUCAGGCCGAGACCCUUCGUCAGGACUAACUGAAGGAAGAAUUUACAGCAGCCUUUGUACACCAAGGUUCCUGUAUCCUUCUAUCGUUUCCCUGUCUCACUGGAACAUAACUAUGCAGAACCCCAUAUUCGGAGUGAGGCUACAAUGAUCCAGUGGACUCCUGCGAUCCAGUGGGGACAGAGAGACAGUGGAAUCCAGUGACGAAACCCCCAGUGGCCCAUCGGAGGGAACUGCAUUCACCUCGAGGUGGGACUACAGUGAAAUAGCAAGAUCUUCAGU
Mobula hypostoma (lesser devil ray) is the source of this 934-nucleotide long non-coding RNA. RefSeq lists it as uncharacterized. The record is from RefSeq and is a predicted model, not a curated record. Lineage: Eukaryota; Metazoa; Chordata; Chondrichthyes; Myliobatiformes; Myliobatidae. The transcript has 5 exons.